AUAUUCCUGUACUCGGUGUUACUGCGAAGGGGGGACGGAGAAGGCUAGGCUAGCCGGGCGACGGUUGUCCCGGUUUAAGCGUGUAGGGGGAGUGACUUGGUAAAUCCGGUUACUUAUUCAACCCUGAGGCGUGAUGACGAUGCACUACGGUGCAGAAGUAGUUGAUGCCAAGCUUCCAGGAAAAGCCUCUAAGCAUCAGGUAACAUCAAAUCGUACCCCAAACCGACACAGGUGGUCAGGUAGAGAAUACCAAGGCGCUUGAGAGAACUCGGGUGAAGGAACUAGGCAAAAUGGUGCCGUAACUUCGGGAGAAGGCACGCUGGCGCGUAGGUGAAGAGACUUGCUCUCGGAGCUGAAGCCAGUCGCAGAUACCAGCUGGCUGCAACUGUUUAAUAAAAACACAGCACUGUGCAAACACGAAAGUGGACGUAUACGGUGUGACGCCUGCCCGGUGCUGGAAGGUUAAUUGAUGGGGUCAGCCGCAAGGCGAAGCUCUUGAUCGAAGCCCCAGUAAACGGCGGCCGUAACUAUAACGGUCCUAAGGUAGCGAAAUUCCUUGUCGGGUAAGUUCCGACCUGCACGAAUGGCGUAAUGAUGGCCAGGCUGUCUCCACCCGAGACUCAGUGAAAUUGAACUCGCUGUGAAGAUGCAGUGUACCCGCGGCAAGACGGAAAGACCCCGUGAACCUUUACUAUAGCUUGACACUGAACAUUGAGCCUUGAUGUGUAGGAUAGGUGGGAGGCUUUGAAGCGUGGACGCCAGUCUGCGUGGAGCCAACCUUGAAAUACCACCCUUUAAUGUUUGAUGUUCUAACUCGGCCCCGUAAUCCGGGGUGAGGACAGUGUCUGGUGGGUAGUUUGACUGGGGCGGUCUCCUCCCAAAGAGUAACGGAGGAGCACGAAGGUUAGCUAAUCACGGUCGGACAUCGUGAGGUUAGUGCAAAGGCAUAAGCUAGCUUGACUGCGAGAGUGACGGCUCGAGCAGGUACGAAAGUAGGUCUUAGUGAUCCGGUGGUUCUGAAUGGAAGGGCCAUCGCUCAACGGAUAAAAGGUACUCCGGGGAUAACAGGCUGAUACCGCCCAAGAGUUCAUAUCGACGGCGGUGUUUGGCACCUCGAUGUCGGCUCAUCACAUCCUGGGGCUGAAGUAGGUCCCAAGGGUAUGGCUGUUCGCCAUUUAAAGUGGUACGCGAGCUGGGUUUAGAACGUCGUGAGACAGUUCGGUCCCUAUCUGCCGUGGGCGUUGGAAGAUUGAGAGGGGUUGCUCCUAGUACGAGAGGACCGGAGUGAACGCACCACUGGUGUUCGGGUUGUCAUGCCAAUGGCAUUGCCCGGUAGCUAAGUGCGGAAAAGAUAAGCGCUGAAAGCAUCUAAGCGCGAAACUUGCCUCGAGAUGAGUCUUCCCUGGGGACUUGAUCCCCCUGAAGGAACGUUUAAGACUAAGACGUUGAUAGGCUGGGUGUGUAAGUGCAGCGAUGCAUUGAGCUAACCAGUACUAAUGAUCCGUGAGACUUAACCUU
Molecule: ribosomal RNA, 1518 nt
Filed under: Komagataeibacter europaeus
Lineage: Bacteria; Pseudomonadati; Pseudomonadota; Alphaproteobacteria; Acetobacterales; Acetobacteraceae
Description: bacterial LSU rRNA
Rfam family: Bacterial large subunit ribosomal RNA
Source: RNAcentral